This is a long non-coding RNA of Triticum aestivum (bread wheat), 1932 nucleotides long. RefSeq lists it as uncharacterized. The transcript has 4 exons. The record is from RefSeq and is a predicted model, not a curated record. Lineage: Eukaryota; Viridiplantae; Streptophyta; Magnoliopsida; Poales; Poaceae.
GUCCACUAGAGAGCUCAACAUUUUGGCCCAGAUGAGCUCAGAGGGAGAGUUGUUGUAUAGCAAAAUCGAGUAGAGCCCUAAUCACCUCCGCAUGUCUUCCCUAGCCCUAAUCGCCGCCGACUCGAGGAGCCGUGGCGGUGGUUCAGCGCUGGGAUUUGUCGUCGUACACUGCCGAGAGGCCUCCCUCCGCCGUGCUAGCUCCGCCAUCAGGACCAGCACUUCGCCGCCAACCACGCCGUUGGAAAUUAGGGAGCCCGGCCGUGUCGUCGGACAUCAUGCGGCCCAGAUGAGCCGCCGUUCCUUGCUGGCGUCAGCGGGCCCGCUGGACGACGAGGAUCUCCUCCGAGAGAUCCUCCUCCGUCUCCCUCCGAAUCCAUCCUCCCUCCCACGUGCCUCGCUUGUCUGCACACGUUGGCGCACCAUUCUCGCUGACCCACAAUUUCUCCGCCGCUUCCGCAAACACCACAGAAACCCUCCAUUGCUGGGCUUCUUCUUCACAGAUGGUGAAUUCACUCCCAUAAUGGACCCUCCCGACAGCAUCCGUGUUGAGCGCUUCUCCGUGCCCAAGAUCCGAACCCCCAAGAGGUCUUGGUGGAACCUCAUAUGCUGCCGCCAUGGCCUCGCCGUACUAGUUAACUGGUUGCAGCCAGGCCCGGCCCAUAGGCCGGGCAAACGGGGCGCCCGCCCUGGCCCCUGGGAAUCAGGGGCCCCGGCCCAGGUGUAGUUUUGUGUUUAGUCUUAAACCCAGAAAAUACAGAGGUAAAAAAAAAGAGGGCCCAAAGUGCAGCUAGUAAGGAAAGCCCACCACGCUGUUGGACAUGGGGGAAGUCACACGUAGGAAUUAAAUCGAUGGUUGUUGGAUAGGGAUCUCUCUCCACGGCGGCGUCUCCUCCUCUUCCCAAAUUUCCGAUCUCAGUCUCCAAGAACAGCGCCGCCUCUCCCAUGCCUUUCUGAUUUUGAGGUCGCAACCAACCAUUAACGGAGGAAAAUGGCGCAAUUUCGGUCCCCAAUUAGCUCUUCUUCAUCCGUUCUGCUCCAUCCCCAUAUGAUUGAGAGAUUGUAACGGGUUCUUCUUUCUAGUAAUCCGGUUCCUUAGUUCUAUGAUUCAAUGUUAAAUAAUGUCAAUCCAUGAUAUUACAGGCUGAAGUUCUCAUGGACACGUACGUUUCUUAUAUUCGAUCCAACAAUCCACAUUAAGGGCCCCCAACAUGCAUGGACCGGCCCUGGUUGCAGCAAGAGAUCAUCGUAUGGGAUCCUCUCACAGGCCAACAGCACCACGUGUCUUUUCCAGCGGGUCUCCAGAAUGGCAAAGGGAGGAAUUCAAAUAACUGGCGCGCUGCGGUGUUGCGUGUUGACCCUGAAGAUGCGCAUAUACAUGGUGGUUGCUUCUCGAGCCUGUUCAAAUUGAUCUUGAUCUGCAAUGUCGGAUAUGUCGUACAAGGCCGGACGUUCUUGUUGGGAAUGCACUUUGUUGGUUGCUUAGUGGAGGCGACGUUCUUGCGUUUGAUCUUGAAAGUCAACACCUUGGUGUGACUGAGAAGCCAGCGGAUGCCCAUAUUGUGCAUUGCUGCCAAGGAUAUGUCCAGAUCCUACGGACACAGGAUAGUGGACUUGGUCUUGCCGUUUUAUCAAAACACAACAUCCAGUUUUGGGAGAGGAAAUCAAACACUGAUAAUGUUGCUGGAUGGGUUCGGCUGCAGAAAACCAUUCAGUUCGAGCUGUUUCCACUCAUCAACCGCAACCUACUUAUAAUGGGGUAUGACGAGGACUCAAAUGUGAUUGUUCUGUCUACAAGGAUUGGCUGUUUCACGGUCCAACUUGAUUCGAUGCAGAUCCGGCAUAUUAUUGAAAGAAACUGGAUGUGUUACAACACCUUGUAUCCCUACAAGAAUUUCUAUACCGCAGGCAAUACCUAGUCGUUUGCAUCACAUA